AGAGUUUGAUCCUGGCUCAGAAUCAACGCUGGCGGCGCGCCUAACACAUGCAAGUCGAACGAGAAAGCCCGCAAGGGUGAGUAAAGUGGCGUACGGGUGAGUAACACGUGGAUAAUCUACCCUCUAGUGGGGAAUACCGUUGGGAAACCGACGACAAUACCGCAUAAGCUCGAGAGAGGAAAGCAGCAAUGCGCUGGAGGAGGAGUCCGCGGCUGAUUAGCUAGUUGGUGAGGUAAUGGCUCACCAAGGCAUAGAUCAGUAGCCGGCCUGAGAGGGCACACGGCCACACUGGCACUGAAACACGGGCCAGACUCCUACGGGAGGCAGCAGUGGGGAAUCUUGCACAAUGGGGGAAACCCUGAUGCAGCGACGCCGCGUGAGCGAUGAAGCCCUUCGGGGUGUAAAGCUCUUUCGGCAGGGAAGAUUAUGACGGUACCUG
RNAcentral lists this ribosomal RNA (439 nucleotides) under uncultured bacterium. Its description in RNAcentral is "bacterial SSU rRNA". It matches the Rfam family "Bacterial small subunit ribosomal RNA", at positions 8 to 481 of the family's 1533-position model. The record is from RNAcentral.